Molecule: ribosomal RNA, 497 nt
Filed under: uncultured bacterium
Lineage: Bacteria
Description: partial 16S ribosomal RNA
Rfam family: Bacterial small subunit ribosomal RNA
Source: RNAcentral
GAUGAACGCUGGCGGCGUGCCUAAUACAUGCAAGUCGAGCGAACAGACGAGGAGCUUGCUCCUCUGACGUUAGCGGCGGACGGGUGAGUAACACGUGGAUAACCUACCUAUAAGACUGGGAUCACUUCGGGAAACCGGAGCUACUACCGGAUAAUAUAUUGAACCGCAUGGUUCAAUAGUGAAAGACGGUUUUGCUGUCACUUAUCGAUCGAUCCGCGCCGCAUUAGCUAGUUGGUAAGGUAACGGCUUACCAAGGCAACGAUGCGUAGCCGACCUGAGAGGGGGAUCGGCCACACUGGAACUGAGACACGGUCCAGACGCCUACGGGAGGCAGCAGUAGGGAACCGUCCGCAAUGGUCGAAAGCUUGACGGAGCAACGGCGCGUGAGUGAUGACGGUCUUCGGAGCGUAAAACUCGGUUAUGAGUGAAGAACAAAUGUGUAAGGAACUAUGCACAUCUUGACGGUACCUAAUCAGAAAGCCACGGCUAACUACGUG